AUGGCCAUUUCGCCUGUGAAAUCUCCAUACCCCUAUACUGCGCGUGCGCGGACCCAAUAGACCGCGCGUGCGCAAUGUGGGGUAGGGAAAUUUCACAGGAGAAAUGGCCAUAAAAUUUACCUACCCCUCAACUGCGCACGCGCGGACUCACAUCAUCAGCUCCAAACUUAUCUGGACACAGGUAUCAUAUGCCAUGGCAUGCUUUUUGCUACGAAACCGCAGCCAUCUAGUCACUCGCCAGAGAAGGAUGAGAAACUGCACCCCAGCGAGAGGGACUGCCUCACAUCAGCAACCAAAUCCGUCGGUCACCGAAUUCAGUAAUCUCCGUCUCUUUGUCCAUUCUCUCUGACAAGCAUGUUCUCCUAUGGGACACGAAGUACAUGAAGAGGAAUGAAGAAGCACAUGUUUGAUGGUCGUCUCCAGGGUGGAGAAUUUAAUUUAUAAGUAAUGAAGUGGCAUCUGACACGUGACAAGCUGCUCCUGUUUGCACAGCAACUUCAACAUUGUGUACUGUGAUCACGGCAUAGUUCAGAGAACAAGGUGAUCCUCUCAAUUUUACACUCCUUUACUGAUGGUUCCAGUGCCAGAGAAAAACCCACCACCAUUAACCUAGACCUGCUGAAACAGAAGAGAUUACCUUCUUCUACAGAAAACUUCCAUAUGACUGCUUCGGAACGCAUGCUGCAGACAUGAAGUAACCUUCAUCUUCCAGUGAUUAAUAAUCCUGGACGGCCCAGAUAGAGAGAGACUAUUCUAUUAUAAAGA
Pelobates fuscus (common spadefoot toad) is the source of this 765-nucleotide long non-coding RNA. RefSeq lists it as uncharacterized. Lineage: Eukaryota; Metazoa; Chordata; Amphibia; Anura; Pelobatidae. The record is from RefSeq and is a predicted model, not a curated record. The transcript is spliced from 4 exons.